This 31-nucleotide small RNA is filed under the name Bombyx mori (domestic silkworm). RNAcentral describes it as "ovarian small RNA-16936". The record is from RNAcentral. Lineage: Eukaryota; Metazoa; Arthropoda; Insecta; Lepidoptera; Bombycidae.
GCGGCAAAAAGCGCGCCCGCGCUGUGGAAUC